RNAcentral lists this transfer RNA (90 nucleotides) under Caudoviricetes sp. RNAcentral's name for it is "tRNA-Ser". It matches the Rfam family "tRNA". From Rfam's summary of the family: Transfer RNA (tRNA) molecules are approximately 80 nucleotides in length. Their secondary structure includes four short double-helical elements and three loops (D, anti-codon, and T loops). Lineage: Duplodnaviria; Heunggongvirae; Uroviricota; Caudoviricetes. The record is from RNAcentral.
GGAUGGUUGACAGAGAGGCUUAUUGUAUCUCUUUGCUAAAGAGACGUCGUUUAAAAGCGACCACAGGUUCGAAUCCUGUACCAUCCUCCA